AGAGUUUGAUCCUGGCUCAGGAUGAACGCUAGCGGCAGGCCUAACACAUGCAAGUCGAGGGGCAGCGCGGUGCAGCAAUGCGCUGGCGGCGACCGGCGUACGGGUGCGUAACGCGUAUGCAACCUGCCCCGCACCGGGGGAUAGCCCGCCGAAAGGCGGAUUAAUACCCCAUGGCCCCGGGGGCCCGCAUGGGCAUCCGGGUAAAGCUCCGGCGGUGCGGGAUGGGCAUGCGUGCCAUUAGCUGGCUGGUGGGGUAACGGCCCACCAGGGCAACGAUGGCUAGGGGGUCUGAGAGGAUGGUCCCCCACACUGGUACUGAGACACGGACCAGACUCCUACGGGAGGCAGCAGUGAGGAAUAUUGGUCAAUGGGCGGAAGCCUGAACCAGCCAUGCCGCGUGCGGGAUGAAGGCCCUACGGGUUGUAAACCGCUUUUCCCCGGGAAGAAUAACCCCGACGCGUCGGGGGAUGCCGGUACCGGGGGAAUAAGGAUCGGCUAACUCCGUGCCAGCAGCCGCGGUAAUACGGAGGAUCCGAGCGUUAUCCGGAUUUACUGGGUGUAAAGCGCGUGCAGGCGGUUCGGUAAGUUGGAUGUGAAAGCUCCUGGCUUAACUGGGAGAGGUCGUUCAAUACUGCCGGGCUAGAGGAUGGGAGAGGGAGGUGGAAUUCCGGGUGUAGUGGUGAAAUGCGUAGAUAUCCGGAGGAACACCAGUGGCGAAGGCGGCCUCCUGGCCCAUUUCUGACGCUCAGACGCGAAAGCUAGGGGAGCGAACGGGAUUAGAGACCCCGGUAGUCCUAGCCGUAAACGAUGUGAACUUGGCGUCGGCGGGUUUAAAUCCGUCGGUGCCGCAGCUAACGCGAUAAGUUCACCACCUGAGUACCACGGCCGCAAGGUUAAAACUCAAAGGAAUUGACGGGUCCCCGCACAAGCAGCGGAGCGUGUGGUUUAAUUCGUUGCUACACGAAGAACCUUACCAGGGUUUGACAUACAGGUGGUAGUGAAGCGAAAGCAGAACGACCCUUCGGGGAGCCUGUACAGGUGUUGCAUGGCUGUCGUCAGCUCGUGUCGUGAGAUGUUCGGUUAAGUCCGCUAACGAGCGCAACCC
RNAcentral lists this ribosomal RNA (1105 nucleotides) under uncultured bacterium. Its description in RNAcentral is "bacterial SSU rRNA". It matches the Rfam family "Bacterial small subunit ribosomal RNA", at positions 8 to 1104 of the family's 1533-position model. The record is from RNAcentral.